This 468-nucleotide ribosomal RNA is filed under the name uncultured bacterium. Its description in RNAcentral is "partial 16S ribosomal RNA". It matches the Rfam family "Bacterial small subunit ribosomal RNA", at positions 28 to 507 of the family's 1533-position model. The record is from RNAcentral.
GACGAACGCUGGCGGCGUGCUUAACACAUGCAAGUCGAACGGAAAGGCCCUGCUUUUGUGGGGUGCUCGAGUGGCGAACGGGUGAGUAACACGUGAGUAACCUGCCCUUGACUUUGGGAUAACUUCAGGAAACUGGGGCUAAUAUCGGAUAGGAGCUCCUGCUGCAUGGUGGGGGUUGGAAAGUUUCGGCGGUUGGGGAUGGACUCGCGGCUUAUCAGCUUGUUGGUGGGGUAGUGGCUUACCAAGGCUUUGACGGGUAGCCGGCCUGAGAGGGUGACCGGCCACAUUGGGACUGAGAUACGGCCCAGACUCCUACGGGAGGCAGCAGUGGGGAAUAUUGCACAAUGGGCGGAAGCCUGAUGCAGCAACGCCGCGUGCGGGAUGACGGCCUUCGGGUUGUAAACCGCUUUCGCCUGUGACGAAGCGUGAGUGACGGUAAUGGAUAAAGAAGCACCGGCUAACUACGUG